Molecule: long non-coding RNA, 1379 nt
Organism: Jaculus jaculus (lesser Egyptian jerboa)
Lineage: Eukaryota; Metazoa; Chordata; Mammalia; Rodentia; Dipodidae
Exons: 3
Source: RefSeq, a predicted model, not a curated record
AUGAUCACGAAAAACUACCUUAAAAUUUACCUGUGGCAGGUGGGCAUGAGUAAUAAUGAACAUCAAAGUUGAGAAGCACAGAAAACUUCUUUACCACAUUCCUGGAAGAGAACCUCACCUUCCAGACGGUCCUUGCCUUCUCAGGAAACCCUACGAGGCUGGUAGAGGAAGUCAUUAAUGGCCGCACCAUGCAGGCUUCUGCAUUCAGCCAACAGAUGUUAGAAGUGGCUCUUCUCCUCUCUCCUUAGCAGUCUUGAUGGAAUCCGGACUUUCCACCAAGCUGGGACCAUCGACCACUAGCAGCUGCCUUGCUCACUGGCUGGGUGAACAGAGGUGGUGGCAGGUGGUGGCAGGGUGAGGUAGGACACGUGCCCUCAGCUCUGUGUCCCGAGGACCCUAUUGGCUGCCUGCUCCCUGUGGGCAGGCAUGCAGAGCACUGAAUGGCUUCCUCACAUCUCUCUCCCCGGACCCCGGCCAACAUGUGACUUGGAGCUCCGAGUCUAGCCUUCAUCCUGCUUACUAUGGUGAGACUUUUGUUUGAAGGUUAUGCAUGUUUGGGGGGAAGUGUGGAGGGGCACAAGGAAAGAGGACCUGGAAUCCUGGCCAGCUUUUUAUUUUACUUUUCCUUUCCUGUCUCUGUCCUGCUUCGUCCUGUCAGAAAUGUUGAAGAGGCAGAAUUCUUAGAUCAGAGGAAGAAAGUGUAGGACAGAAGGUCUUCUGGGGAUUCGCAUACACCUAGGGCACACACACACACAACAGGAAGAACUCUGAAAGAAACCCCCUUACAUCAUGCAUCCUCCCCACUGUGCAACACCCCCCCCUCAGUCACUCUCAGCUUCUAGAAAUAGAAGCGGCCUGCCAUUGCCCUUCAAAGCAAACCACCCUGUGACGGCAGCCUCAUCAAGCCGUAACUUCCAGAUCAAUAACUAUCAUUCUCCCUGCCUCUGCUCUUCCUGAGAGUUCAAAACAGAGUCUCAUUUGCUAUCUUCCUCAAGCAGUUAAGAUGCAAGCAGGCAACAACAGGGAGAUUGAUUCUUUUCUCAUUCAAGAAGAGAAUAAGGACCCUAGGUCACCCAGCACAUUGACUAUUAUGCUGGUUUGAAUCUAAAAUGUCCUCCAUAGCCUCAAGUGUCUCCCCAGCUGGUUGAGCCUUUGGGAGGUGGAACCUUGCUGGAGGAGGUGUGUCACUGGGGUGUGUUGGGAUUAAGUUAAUAGUCCAGUCCACUAGAUGUUCAGAGCCAUCUUGCUCUGACUUCUCACUCUUGCUGCUGAAAUAAAAAGAGGUGAUCCAGUUGAUAAUGAAACUUCACCUCAAAGCUAUAUAAGCCUGAAGUAAGCCCUUUCUGUGGUUGUUUGGUUGUAAAUGUGUGUCCCCCCCA